GAUGAACGCUGGCGGCGUGCCUAAUACAUGCAAGUCGAGCGAACAGAUGAGGAGCUUGCUCCUCUGACGUUAGCGGCGGACGGGUGAGUAACACGUGGAUAACCUACCUAUAAGACUGGGAUAACUUCGGGAAACCGGAGCUAAUACCGGAUAAUAUAUUGAACCGCAUGGUUCAAUAGUGAAAGACGGUUUUGCUGUCGCGUAUGGAUGGAUCCGCGGCGCAUUAGCUUGUUGGUAAGGUAACGGCUUACCAAGGCAACGAUGCGUAGCCGACCUGAGAGGGUGACCCGCCGCACUGGGCCUGAGCGGAGGCCCAGACGCGUACGGGACGCAAAAGGGGGAAAUCUUGCAGGAUGAGCGGCAGCGGGAUGAAGAAACGCCGCGUGCGGGAAAACUGCUUUCGGGUGGAAAACCAAUUUCGCAUGUAACGAAGCGUGAGUGACGGUAAUGGAUAAAGAAGCCCCGGCUAACUACGUG
Molecule: ribosomal RNA, 477 nt
Filed under: uncultured bacterium
Lineage: Bacteria
Description: partial 16S ribosomal RNA
Rfam family: Bacterial small subunit ribosomal RNA
Source: RNAcentral